RNAcentral lists this unclassified non-coding RNA (234 nucleotides) under plant metagenome. Its description in RNAcentral is "partial contains small subunit ribosomal RNA, internal transcribed spacer 1, and 5.8S ribosomal RNA". The record is from RNAcentral.
UUUCCGUAGGUGAACCUGCGGAAGGAUCAUUAAAGUUAUAGUCCCCCGGCCCUCUGGGCUGGGGUCUUCUAUACCACCCUUUGUUUAUUACACCUUUGUUGCUUUGGCAGGCCUGCCCUCGGGCUGCUGGCUCCGGCCGGCUCGCGCCUGCCAGAGGACCUAAACUCUGUUUGUAUACGAAGUCUGAGUACUAUAUAAUAGUUAAAACUUUCAACAACGGAUCUCUUGGUUCUG